UACGUAGGGUGCGAGCGUUAAUCGGAAUUACUGGGCGUAAAGAGCGCGCAGGCGGUCGAUCAAGUCGAGUGUGAAAGCCCCCGGCUCAACCGGGGAGGGUCAUUCGAUACUGAUCGACUCGAAGGCAGGAGAGGGUAGUGGAAUUCCCGGUGUAGUGGUGAAAUGCGUAGAUAUCGGGAGGAACACCAGUGGCGAAGGCGACUACCUGGCCUGUUCUUGACGCUGAGGCGCGAAAGCUAGGGGAGCAAACGGG
This 253-nucleotide ribosomal RNA is filed under the name uncultured bacterium. RNAcentral's name for it is "partial 16S ribosomal RNA". It matches the Rfam family "Bacterial small subunit ribosomal RNA", at positions 524 to 776 of the family's 1533-position model. The record is from RNAcentral.